GCGUCCCUCUCCCUCUGCACUGCCCUCAAUUAUCUGUGUGAGAGAGAGUGGAGGGCAGGCCAAAUAAAGCCAUAGGUGCUGCUGGGAGAGGAGUGCGUGUUAGCAUGCUAUAAAUACUUGAUGCAUCUGGAGUUUCAGGGUUGGCUACUGUCUGGGUCUCAGCAGACCAGAUCACAGGCUCUAUGUUGAUCUAGUGAUUUAUAGAAUUAUUGAUUUAUUGGACUGGGACAGGGAUUGGACCAUCCUGGAGGUGACAGGCCAUCAUGCCUAGGAUAGACGUGGAUGUGAAGCUGGACUUUAAAGAUGUCCUGUUCAGACCCAAGAGAAGCAGCCUGAAGAGCAGGUCAGAGCAAACUCUCUUCACCGCCAUGCAGAAGCACUACACUGUGGAGCAGUGGAAGGCUUUUGCAGCCAAGUUUCCAGAAUGUUUGGAGCACAUAGCGGUCAGCUCAGGCAGCGGUCAAGCCGACCUGGAGAAGCUGUGCAGCGUCCUGAAGGCCGUCUCUGACAUCAGAUUCAUCUGUCUGGACGUGGCCAACGGCUACUCUGAACACUUUGUGGAGUUUGUCAAAACCGUCAGGGGGAGGUUUCCCCAACACACUAUCAUGGUGAGGCCGUUCCAUCAAGUUAACACAGCUGAACAGCUUUUGAAGACUUCAUUUGCUUAUGUCGUUUUAAUUACUGUAAAUAUUCUUACAUGUGCAAUGUGAUGUGCCAUGCAAUGUUAAACUAUCACCUGUUUGGUAGUUAGUUGGUUUGGUAGCUGUAUAGGUAUUCUAAAUGCUAUGACUAUGUCUGCCUGUCCGUCUGUCCGUCUGUCCGUCUGUCCGUCUGUCCGUCUGUCCGUCUGUGUGUCUCUAACUGUGGUCAGGCUGGCAACGUGGUGACAGGAGAGAUGGUGGAGGAGCUGAUCCUGGCAGGAGCUGACAUCAUUAAAGUGGGUAUUGGGCCAGGUGGGUCUGUUACUCUGGUACACUGUUACUCUGUCUGUUACUCUGGUGCUCCGUCUGUUACUCUGUCGGUUACUCUGUCGGUUACUCUGCCUGUUACUCUCUGUUGCUCUGUUACCCUGUCUGUUGCUCUGUCUGUUACUCUAUGGUACCCUCUAUGUUACUCUGUUACUCUGUCUGUUACUCUGUUACUCUGUCUGUUACUCUCUGUUACUCUGUCAGCCACUCUGUCUGUUACUCUGUUACUGUCUGUUACUCUGGGACUUUGUCUGUUGCUCUCUGUUACCCGGUUAUUCUGUCAGUUGCUCUGUCUGUUACUUUGUCAGUUGCUCUGGGUGUUACUCUGCUACUUUGUUACUGUCUGUUACUCUAUUACUAUGUAUGUUACUCUCUGUUACUCUGUCAGUUACUCUGUCUGUUACUCUGUUACUCUGUCUGGUGCUCUAUUACUAUGUAUGUUACUCUCUGUUACUCUGUCAGUUACUCUGUCUGUUACUCUAUUACUAUGUAUGUUACUCUCUGUUACUCUGUCAGUUACUCUGUCUGUUACUCUGUUACUCUGUCGGUUACUCUCUUACUCUGUCUGGUACUCUGUUUGUUACUCUCUGUUACUCUGUCGGUUACUCUGUCGGUUACUCUCUUACUCUGCCUGUUACUCUGUUUGUUACUCUCUGUUACUCUGUCGGUUACUCUGUCGGUUACUCUCUUACUCUGUCUGUUACUCUGUUUGUUACUCUCUGUUACUCUGUCGGUUACUCUGUCGGUUACUCAGUUAUUCUGUCAGGUACUCUGUCUGUUACUCUGCUACUGUGUCUGUUACUCUGUUAAUCUGUCUGGUACUCUGUCUGUUACUCUGUUACUGUGUAUGUUACUCUGGUACUCCAUCGGUUACUCUCUGUUACUCUGUUGGUUACUCUGUCUGUUACUCUCUGCUACUCUGUUACACUGUUACUAUGUCUGGUACUCUAUCACUCCGUCUGUUACUCUCUGUUACUCUGCCGGUUACUCUGUCUGUUACUCUGUUACUCUGUCUGCUACUCUGGUACUCCGUCUGUUACUCUGUUACUCUGUCUGUUACUCUGGUACUCUGUUACUCUGUCUGUUACUCUGGUACUCCAUCGGUUACUCUGUCUGUUACUAUGUUACUCUGUUACUCUGUCUGUUGCUCCGGUACUCUGUUACUCUAUUACUCCGUCUGUUACUCUGUCGGUUAGUCUGUUACUCUGUCUGUUGCUCUGUUGGUUACUCUGUUACUCUGUUGGUUACUAUGUUACUCUGUAUGUUACUCUGUCACUCUGUAUGUUACUCUGUAUGUUACUCUGUCUGUUACUCUGUCUAUUACUCUGUUAUUCUGUCUGUUGAUCUGUCGGUUACUCUGUUACUCUGUCUGUUACUCUGUCUGUUACUCUGUUACUCUGUUACUAUGUAUGUUACUCAGUUGGUUACUCUGUUACUCUGUCUGUUACUCUGUCUGUUACUCUGUUACUCUGGUACUCUGGUACUCUGUCUGUUACUCAGUUGGUUACUCUGUCUGUUACUCUGUCUGUCACUCCGGUACUCUGUUACUCUGUCUGUUACUCUGUUACUCUGUCUGUUAUUCUGUUACUUUGUCUGUUACUCUGUUACUUUGUCUGUUACUCUGUUACUCUGUCAGUUACUCUGUCGGUUACUCUGUUACCAUGUCUGUUAUACGGUCUGUUAUAAGGUCUGUUACCCUGUCUGUUAUUCUGUUACUCUGUCUGAUACUCUGUCUGUUACUCCGUUACUCUGUCGGUUACUCUGUUGGUUACUCUGUCUGUUACUCUGUCUGUUACCCUGUCUGUUAUUCUGUCUAUUACCCUGUCUGUUGCACUGGCUGUUACCCUGCCUGUUACUCUGUCUGUUACUCUGUCUGUUGUUCUGUUACUUUAUAUGUUACUCUGUUACUCUGUCUGUUAAUCUGUCUGUUACUCUGAUACUCUGUUGGUUACUCCGUUGGUUACUCUGUCUGUUACUCUGUUACCCUGUCUGUUACCCUGUCUGUUACCCUGUCUGUUACCCUGUCUGUUACACUGUCUGUUACACGGUCUGUUACUCUGUCUGUUACUCUGUCUGUUACUCUGUUACCCUGUCUGUUAUACUGUUUGUUACACUGUCUGUUACACUGUCUGUUACACUGUCUGUUGCCCUGUCUGUUACUCUGUCUGUUACUCCGUCUGUUACUCUAGCACCCUCUUCCCUACAUAGUGCACUAUAAGUAGAGCACUAUAUGGAGUCAUGAGUUCACCAGGGCUCCCUUCAAGAGAGAAAAAUACUUCAGCUGAGUGCAUUCAGCUCCUGACAAACUGACACGUCAUGAUUCCCCUCUAGGUUCUGUGUGUACGACGCGUAUUAAGACGGGAGUGGGAUACCCCCAGCUCAGUGCUGUCAUAGAGUGUGCAGACUCCGCCCACGGCCUGAAGGGUCACAUCAUCUCAGUGAGUGACCUCUGACCUCAAGAACCUUCUGACAUUCUGACCUCUUGGGUCAGAUUCAGGAGGGUGCAACGCACCUGCACAAUACAUGUAUCUACACAACAUUUCUAUCUGAACAAACCCAGGGGUUAAAGGUGCUGGAGCUCGGGUUCCGCCUAGCUUUCCCUUUGAGAGAUUAAACCACUGAACGUUCCACAAUGUUUGCUCAAUAUGUUUUGUUUUAUCGCACCAGGAUGGCGGAUGCAGCUGUCCUGGCGAUGUGGCUAAGGCAUUUGGCGCUGGAGCUGAUUUUGUGAUGCUGGGGGGCAUGCUGGCUGGCCACGACCAGUGUGCCGGGGAGGUCAUUGAGAGGAAUGGCAGAAAGGUCAAGCUGUUCUAUGGGAUGAGCUCUGACACGGCCAUGAAGAAACAUGUAGGGGGAGUGGCAGAGUACAGAGCGUCAGAGGGCAGGACGGUGGAGGUACCGUACAGGGGGGAUGUAGAGGCCACCAUCAGGGACAUUCUGGGUGGUCUGCGCUCCACCUGCACCUACGUAGGAGCUGCCAAACUGAAGGAGCUCAGUCGCAGGACCACCUUUAUCAGAGUCACACAGCAGGCCAGCCACAUGUUCACAUAGUAGUAAAUAGACGGAGGGACGGACAGACAGACAGCCAUGAUCUUUCUUGUGGCUGUUUAGAACUUCACAUCCUAAUGCCUGAUUUCAAUUGUGCUGAUUUAAUUUAAAAUGUAAAAGUUUGAAUCUACAACAAUAUUUAUGUAAAUGCAUGUGUUACUUUCCCUGUACACAGUAGACAGAAAGAGGAGAAACAGAGAAAUACCAACCUGGACUCAGGGGUAGACAUAGUAAACUUAUAUCCGUGACACUCCAAUUAGUAUGAUAUGUAACGUUUGGCAUGGUUUUCAUUUGUGGAUGUCCAUCUUUCAUUUCGUCGGAUAUGUUACGAAUUACAAUAUGUUACGAAUUUGCAAAGGUAUGAUAUGUUAUGAAUUCUAAUUUGUUGAGGCUAAGGUUAUCUAGGUGUCUAGGUGGCUAACGCUAAUGUUAGCUAGGUGGCUAAUGUUAACCAGGUUAGGGGUUAAGGUUAGGAGUUAGGUUAGGGUAUGGGUUAGCUAAUAUGCUAAGUAGUUGCAAAAAAUUGGUAAGUAGUUUCAAAGUUGCUAAUUAGCUAAAAUGAUAAAAUUGUCUGUGAUGUUAUUCAAACUCACAGCCUUUGGGUUGCUUGAUGUUCAUGUUUUACACCUACCCAUCCACCCUGUCCAAACAUCCUACUUUUGUUUUUUGCCUUAAGUAACCUUCUGUCUUAUGUAACCAAAUGUAACAUAUCAUACUAAAUUGAAUCUUUCAGAAUUUGGAUUUACAUUUACUAUGUUACGUGUAGUCUAUGAGACCAGGCUGGAAAAACAGAGUGCUAGAGUAAGCAGCUGCUCUGUUGCUCCUCUUGAAAGAUGGAUGAAAGACAGAUGAGCCAGUUGAUAGACAGAAUUUCAGUUGACUCUGUUAUUUAUUAUUCUGAGUAUACAGAGACAAUACAUUUGUUCAUGUUCUUUUGUGUUUCUUUAAACAAAUUUGUUCAAAUCUAAAUGAAAUGUUAAAAAAAAUUACAACUGAAAUAUUUUGUCCAUAAACCUGGAAAAACUCUCCUAAGAAAGAGACCAUAGAUCAUACAGAACAGAUUGGAGUAUAUCCUACAAAUUAAACCGUAAUACCACAGUUAGAAAAGCAACUUUGAAGUCUUCUAGUCCUCUUGUUUCCUGUCUCCUGUUGUACAUAAAUGUAUCUUACAUAUGAGGUACACAAAAAAGUUAUUUCACAACCUUUCUUGGGGGUUGCGGACCAAUGCAUGAACAUUUUUUAAAUUACAGAUUGUACAAUAAUAACAAUGAUCCUAUUUUGUAUAAUAUCUACAACAAUGUUUAUAUUUUAGCACAUACAUAUCUCAGGAAAAAACAGUCAAUGGGCGGUGUCUGUUUCUCUGCCAGUUCACCUGAUUAUUGGCAAGAUGCAAACAACAGUCUAAUAAUCUCUAUUCAUUCUAUUCUCUGUCUCUCUCUCUCCCUCCUCUCUCUCCCUCCUCUCUCUCUCUCCUCUCAAUGAAUUUGAAAAUAUCCAAUUGCUUUCUUUGAUGAUAAACAGUUUUAUGAUAAUCACACACACACACACACACACACACACACACACACACAAUUCCUGAGUUCUGUAAAAUACUUUAUUUUGGCUAUAAGAAAAUAUAUAUAAUUUUAAACUGAAAGAAAAGAGAGACACCUGUGAGAAUUCAGUCUAAAGUAAGACAGGUACACAUGAGUGGGUAGUGAGGCCAGGUAGUUACAGAAUGUAGAGUAAUGUCCACAUUCAUGUGCACAGGUUCAUCUACUGCUGAACCUAUGGCACUGGUCCAUAAUCACUGAUGAUCUUGACUCUAGCUUUUUCACUUGACAGUACCAUGAUUACUCUGAUUUGCCUGAAUUAAAAGUAUGAAAAUAUACAUUUUAAUGAUUCAUGUCACGUGAAGAUACAAUGUAUUCUCAGGUGACAUAUUGCAAGUUGAGGUUUGAGUUUUACAUGGGAUGUCAUUCAUACAAAUAACUGAUGAAAGUGAAUCAGAGACAUUUUAGAGGGUCAUCGGUCUGUAAUGAUUUAACAUGGAAAAACACCAAUCUAUAAUUCAGGUAUUGCACAUACAACACAUACAACCCAAUUACAACUAAGUUAAUUGGACAGGUUCACUAUAGCUGUAGUUCAAUGUCAGUGGCUCUCCCUCCACCACUUUACAGUGUAAAACAUUGUAAAACAACGUCCAGAAGAACCACUGUAAAACGUUGUAUAACGUCCAGAAGAACCACUGUAAAACGUUGUAUAACGUCCAGAAGAACCACUGUAAAAUGUUGUAUAACGUCCAGAAGAACCACUGUAAAACGUUGUAUAACAUCCAGAAGAACCACUGUAAAACGUUGUAUAACGUCCAGAAGAACCACUGUAAAACGUUGUAUAACGUCCAGAAGAACCACUGUAAAACGUUGUAUAACAUCCAGAAGAACCACUGUAAAACGUUGUAUAACGUCCAGAAGAACCACUGUAAAACGUAGUAUAACGUCCAGAAGAACCACAGAAAGCCCCCGAUAAAAGGUGAAGUAGAACUCACUGCAGGAGAAGCUAUCAUGUAACUUACUACAGUAUGAAGCUAUCAGGUAACUUACUACAGUAUGAAGCUAUCAGGUAUGUAGCUGUCAGGUAGGUUACAACACUAUGAAGCUAUCAGGUAACUUACUACAGUAUGAAGCUAUCAUGUUUGACGCUAUUGGGUAACUUACUACAGUAUGAAGCUAUCAGGUAACUUACUACAGUAUGAAGCUGUCAGGUAACUUACUACAGUAUGAAGCUAUCAGGUAACUUACUACAGUAUGAAGCUAUCAGGUAUGAAGCUAUCAGGUAACUUACUACAGUAUGAAGCUAUCAGGUAACUUACAACAGUAUGAAGCUAUCAGAUAACUUACUACAGUAUGAAGCUAUCGGGUAACUUACUACAGUAUGAAGCUAUCGGGUAACUUACAACAGUAUGAAGCUAUCAGGUAACUUACAACAGUAUGAGGGCUAUCAGGUAACUUACUGCAGUAUGAAGCUAUCAGGUAUGAAGAUAUCAGGUAACUUACUACAGUAUGAAGCUAUCAGGUAACUUACUACAGUAUGAAGCUAUCAGGUAUGAAGAUAUCAGGUAACUUACCACAGUAUGAAGCUAUCAGGUAACUUACAACAGUAUGAAGCUAUCGGGUAACUUACAACAGUAUGAAGCUAUCGGGUAACUUACAACAGUAUGAAGCUAUCGGGUAACUUACAACAGUAUGAAGCUAUCAGGUAACUUACCACAGUAUGAAGCUAUCAGGUAACUUACAACAGUAUGAAGCUAUCAGGUAACUUACUACAGUAUGAAGCUGUCAGGUAACUUACUACAGUAUGAAGCUAUCAGGUAACUUACUACAGUAUGAAGCUAUCAGGUAUGAAGCUAUCAUGUAACUUACAACAGUAUGAAGCUAUCAGGUAACUUACUACAAUAUGAAGCUAUCAGGUAACUUACUGCAGUAUGAAGCUAUCAGGUAUGAAGAUAUCAGGUAACUUACUACAGUAUGAAGCUAUCAGGUAACUUACUACAGUAUGAAGCUAUCAGGUAUGAAGAUAUCAGGUAACUUACUACAGUAUGAAGCUAUCAGGUAACUUACUACAGUAUGAAGCUAGCAUGUAACUUACAACAGUAUAUCUAAAACAAGAAGGGAAUGAAGACAUUAAAUCACAAAGAAUGCGUCCCAAACGGCACCCUCUUAGCUUUAUAGUGCACUACAACUGACCAGAGCCCAAAGUUAGGGCACUAUAUAGGAAAUGGGUGCCAUUUGGGACACAACCUGGCUAUCAAAGAUACUACUAACCCUGUCCUGUAGACAUUGGUUGAUGUUCAAAUCAAUAUGAUUACUCUUUAAAUUCACUUUGUGGAAUAUGGCCAAUAACAAAAUUAUACGCACCCAUAUUUCUGUAAACCGAAAUGAUUGAAACAUACAAUGCCUUCGGAAAGUGUUCAGACCCCUUGACUUUUUCCACAUUUUGUUACGUUACAGCCUUAUUCUAAAAUGUAUUCAAUAGUUUUUUCCCCCUCAUCAAUCUACACACAACACGCC
RNAcentral lists this long non-coding RNA (8065 nucleotides) under Salmo salar (Atlantic salmon). RNAcentral's name for it is "lncRNA (ENSSSAG00000082672.1)". The record is from RNAcentral. Lineage: Eukaryota; Metazoa; Chordata; Actinopteri; Salmoniformes; Salmonidae.